RNAcentral lists this ribosomal RNA (253 nucleotides) under uncultured bacterium. Its description in RNAcentral is "partial 16S ribosomal RNA". It matches the Rfam family "Bacterial small subunit ribosomal RNA", at positions 524 to 776 of the family's 1533-position model. The record is from RNAcentral.
UACGAAGGGGGCUAGCGUUGCUCGGAAUCACUGGGCGUAAAGCGCACGUAGGCGGCUUUCUAAGUCAGGGGUGAAAUCCUGGAGCUCAACUCCAGAACUGCCUUUGAUACUGGAGAGCUAGAGUCCGGAAGAGGUGAGUGGAACUGCGAGUGUAGAGGUGAAAUCCGUAGAUAUUCGCAAGAACACCAGUGGCGAAGGCGGCUCACUGGUCCGGUACUGACGCUGAGGUGCGAAAGCGUGGGGAGCAAACAGG